This 30-nucleotide non-coding RNA is filed under the name Homo sapiens (human). Lineage: Eukaryota; Metazoa; Chordata; Mammalia; Primates; Hominidae. The record is from RNAcentral.
UCCCUUUCAAUUUCUAGGGGUCCCCUGGGC